CGGCAGCAUCCAGCGCCAUCCCCCAAGAAUCACAACACAUGCUUGGCGAGCCAGCAUGCAUGCCAUGGAUGGACCACACAGGAUCCUUGCUUGACCUCCCCAGCAUGCGCAGGUCAAGGGCUGUCAGGCUCCCUGUGCAGCAAAGAAGAAGAAAAAACUUCCUAGGCAGGGGAAACUCUCCCUGCAUCAACAAAGGGAGACACUUUGGCUCAAAGAACUGUGAUUCUCCCACACAAGAGGAUGAGAGGGAAGUUGAUGUGAAUCUGGCGGGACUCUGGCUCCUGUGCAAAAAAAAAAGCGGGACAGACACAGUCACAAAUACUCAUCAUAGUUAAAAGUGAUGAGACGGCUAUAAGGGCACGCAAGCAUCUGAGCGGACGUGUCAAUGGAGUUUGAUGGAAGCCAUCAGGCUGCAUGCACACAGACUGAGACACACCUCCUCGCUUGAGGGACCUGAGCAAGCAUGAGCAAGAAAGAUUCCCAUUGGACCAAACCAUGGGACAGACAUUUGCAUCACGCACGCAAUCUUGUAAGGAAGAUGAGACUGCUCAAUUGAUUUGGGUCACCCCCAUCGCUGGAAACCCUUAAGGAUCGUCAUCAGCACAUGUAGACCCUCAAUCUGCCCAUGGUGAGGUUGCCUUAUUCAAACUGACAUGUAAGGUUUUGUGGAGGGACACUGGGGGAGCAUGUUUUUUUAAUGUCAGCAGUCCUCCUGCAACAAAGAAGUAUCAAUUGGAGCGGUGAGCCCCCGUUAUGCACAUGUGUAUGUCACGUACUAAUAUCUUGCUUUGUUAAAAAAUGCAUGGAUUUGGUCAAAAGGUGACCGUUAUGGCACCUUUAUGCAGGAUUUUCUCUCAAAGCCAUGGCUGAACAUCUGUGCUUGACGGCUUUUUUCACUCAGCUUUUGGGCAGCGAUAACCUUUGGUACAGGGGGAAAUCACCCAAUUUGGUGCAUUGGGUAGUUCGGAAUGGAUGUGUAGUGGUGAAUAGAAGGGUCUAUGCCAUGGCUGACUGGGCAGAUGCUCUGCAACUGGAAUUUCGCCAUGCUUCACAAGAGGAAAACAAACCUGGUGCCAUCUGGGACACUGUACAUGGUCAUGCACAGGAGGCCUUUUUUGAGGCCACGUGUCACCCUCACCUGGGUAAAGCAAUUUCUGAAUUCGUCAUUAAUGAGAAUAUUCUUGGUCAUUUUCAGGUUAGCAAACUCAAAACAUGACAUGAAAUAAGUACAAAAAAACUGACACACCAGCAGCCAAAAAAGCACCGCACCUGAGUCAUCGCCAUACACAAGCAGGGUGCCUGCACCAGUGUUGGCACACAGUUGCAUGGAGGUAGG
Molecule: long non-coding RNA, 1336 nt
Filed under: Dunaliella salina
Lineage: Eukaryota; Viridiplantae; Chlorophyta; Chlorophyceae; Chlamydomonadales; Dunaliellaceae
Description: long non-coding RNA (DSAL_LNC000135)
Source: RNAcentral